This 350-nucleotide long non-coding RNA is filed under the name Populus trichocarpa (black cottonwood). Its description in RNAcentral is "long non-coding RNA (PTRI_LNC002270)". The record is from RNAcentral. Lineage: Eukaryota; Viridiplantae; Streptophyta; Magnoliopsida; Malpighiales; Salicaceae.
UAAGACAUAGGUCACCAUCCCCUAUACGACGUAGAUUGCGUUCUCCCUUUCGACGCAGGUCACCUUCACCCUUGCAUGAUAGAUCUCCUUCACCAGUUCGACGUCGCAGAUCCCCCUCACCUGUUCGACGUCGUAGAUCCCCCUCACCUGUUCGACGUCGGAGAUCCCCCUCACCUAUUAGGCGCCGAAGAUCCCCCUCACCUAUUAGGCGUCGUAGAUCCCCUUCCCCUGUGCGCCGUAGAUCCCCUUUCCCUAUGCGCCGCAGAUCCCCAUUGCCUUUAAGGCGUAGAUCACCUUCACCUGUGUCACGUAGAUCACCUUCACCUCUUCGUCGUAGAUCACCCCCUUCC